CUAGAGGCUUCCCAGGCGAGGUGCCUGGAUUUCACCUCGCCCCCAGGCACCUCUUGACAGCACUGAAAAAAGUUAGGAGGAAAAGACAAGUGGGAAAAGUAGAAAGUUGUUAUAACAAACUUGCUGUGCUGACUGUUUGUUUUAUAAUUGUUAGAAUAUACCUUUAAGGACAUGAAUGAUAAUCAAAUUCAAAUUCCCUCUAUCAGCCUAUCAUUCUCUUUCUCUCUAUCCCUCUUUAUUUCUGUUCUCUUUCUUCUCUACUCUAUUUCCUUCUGCAAACUCUUUCAGUUUGUCAAUCAGUAACAGAAUUAGGACUGUGAAAAACUCUUACCAGACCUAACAAAAACUUGCAUCAAAGAUUUAUGUGGAGGAGGUGUGUGUUUUUGUGCUGAAUGUGUAUCAAUGACACAAGUUCUUAAAUCGCAGGAGAAAAUUGCCAUGCUUCGAG
Molecule: unclassified non-coding RNA, 448 nt
Filed under: Hevea brasiliensis (rubber tree)
Lineage: Eukaryota; Viridiplantae; Streptophyta; Magnoliopsida; Malpighiales; Euphorbiaceae
Source: RNAcentral